AUGCAGGUACUGUUACAAUAUAGCUGAAGUGUUUUUAUUGUAGUUUUCUCUGCUUAAAGCACUUGAUAUAUAACUAUCUCUGUCUGACCGGGCAUGGUGGCUCAGCCUGUAAUCC
This 115-nucleotide small nucleolar RNA is filed under the name Carlito syrichta (Philippine tarsier). RNAcentral describes it as "Small nucleolar RNA SNORA63 (ENSTSYG00000026231.1)". The record is from RNAcentral. Lineage: Eukaryota; Metazoa; Chordata; Mammalia; Primates; Tarsiidae.